CGGUACUCGUUAGAUAUCGGGGCCAUCCUGGGAUGUGCGUUUGUAUGUUAUUGCUGUAAGAGAUGAGUUAGGUAGCAUGCUCUAAUUGUAAUGGUCACAUUUUCUAACUGCUAAUUCACAGUUAUUUCCAUGCUAACAGACAAAUCACGAAUCUACAGCCAUCAAUAUAAUGUUGUCCUGCACAGCUAAUGUACUUCCUUGUGUCUAUCGUCAGCUCUCAGCUGUGCCUGCCUGUCAGGGACCAUGUCAUCUGAAGCAGGGCAGGCUAUAAGACACUUUCCGACCCCAGUCAACGGAAAUCAAUUGCUUUCCAUAGGAGAAAAAGGUCAACCCAGGACGCAACAGACCCAGAACAUUAUCAUCUGAGAGCCUCGGGAUGUCAUAUGAACGCAUUUUGUCCAUCCAAAGUUUGAGUGAGGUUGAGAACCCAUGGAAAAGCAUUACUCUGAACCGUUGCAUAGUGUUUGCCAUCAUCAUUGUGCUUGUGAGCUCAGGGGUGAAUGAAAUACAUGAUGCUCUGGAUGUACUUCUAGAGGAGAAGGAUCUUCCCCAGAUGUUCUUUGGAGGCACGGUUCUACAACCAGACGGCGUAGCUCAGCCUGCAGCCUCUCUGUGGGACAGCUUGCUGAGUUGGGGCUCAGACGAUGGAAGAAAAGGAAAUCCCAAGAGAAGAGGGGGAAUCUUGAGAAUCAGAAAUAGAGAUGUGUCUGACAAAGGGCUGUUAAAGGAAUGAUAGAGGGAAUACAUUAUGGAGAAUGGUAAAUGAGGGGCAAGAGGAGGAUAGUGAAACAAAAAAGGAAAACAUUUUCUGAAGGACUAAUCAAAGUGUGUUUAUUAUGUUGAAAUAUAAGGAUAUAUUGUAGUUAAAAUGUUACUACUGUAAAAAAAAAAAAAAAAAAAAGAUUUA
This is a long non-coding RNA of Oncorhynchus keta (chum salmon), 907 nucleotides long. RefSeq lists it as uncharacterized. The record is from RefSeq and is a predicted model, not a curated record. Lineage: Eukaryota; Metazoa; Chordata; Actinopteri; Salmoniformes; Salmonidae. The transcript is spliced from 6 exons.